Non-coding RNA from Cyanistes caeruleus (blue tit), 1249 nucleotides. Lineage: Eukaryota; Metazoa; Chordata; Aves; Passeriformes; Paridae. The record is from RefSeq and is a predicted model, not a curated record.
UGAGGAGGAACAGGCGCGCUCGAGGCCGAGCGGCCCCCGGCGGCUCCGCUGCCCCCGUGUCCCCAGGGCCAUCUCGCCGAACGGGCCUGUGGGCCCUGCCGGGGCUUUGGGGGGAAGGCUGGUGGCUGGUAUCGGUCAUCUCGGGAAUGAAAGGGGGAAAGCGGCCUCGGGAGUGGAAGGGCAAGUUCAGGUUUUAAAGUUCAGCAGCUUGUUAGUGCUUGGGAGUUCAAGUGUGUGGUAGGAAAUACAUAGCCCUUUUUGUUUUUCCCUUGUCUUCGUGUGUCAUUUUGGGUUUGUCAAGGAUGAGAAGAAGAGAAUUCAGAACCCACUCUUCCAGAAUCUGUAUAAACCAAAUUGCCAUGCCGGCAAUGCUGAGGGAUUCUGGAUCCUCCUCUUAGAAGGAGGGCAGCCCAGGAUGAAUGCAUGCUUAUGCAAUAGAGCAGCCAGACUGUUGUGCUUAAAACACCGAGUGAGUGUUGGGAACACACACUUUAGCUGUCAGAGUGAGGUUUUUCCAAAUGACUUGUUCUGAUGCACACUUGGCAUUGAAUGGGAAAAAAGACAGCCCAGGGACCGAGUCCAUCAGCUUAGCUUUUUGAAAGAGGCGUUAGGUACAUAGAGUGUAUGAAAUUUGUUAUUGUCUUUCAGCACCUGCUUUGUGGUUGAGAGUUUAAUUUUCAGGGAUAGACUAGAGAUGCUUUAUUGGCAAACACAUUUGCAUGAAGGAAAUUGCAUAACACUACCACUUACUCUCUUUAAGUACAAAAUUAAUUAAUUUCCUAGAGACUAGGCUAAAUUAAAUUGACUUAGGUAUUCUACUUAAUGUAACGGACCCUAAAUCUAGAUCUAUUUUCUUUUCUUGUUUAUCUUGUAGGACCCAGAUGACUUUGGGAUGAGAGGGACACUGCUGCCACAGGCAGUUCACAAAAAAGAAUAGACACUUUUUAAAAUUAAACACUUGGACCUUUUCCUUCUAAAGCAAGGGACUGAACUUCAUGGAUUGUAGCACGAGAAUUCAACUUCAUUCUUUAAAUUUCUAAGCUGCACUCUGGCAGUGGAUGCCACAAAGACAGCAAGGCUGUCAGUCUACUUAGUGAAAUAUUUUUUAGUCCCCAUUUUGAGUCAGAAAAAAAAUAGUAACAUACUCUGAGAAGGUGAAUUGACUACUACACAAAGGGUAAAAGUUUGAUUGAAGUAUGAAAUGAUGAAUUUUUUUUUAAUAAAUCCUCACCAAAUGUUUGCUAAUCUU